This 888-nucleotide small RNA is filed under the name Pongo abelii (Sumatran orangutan). RNAcentral describes it as "retained intron". Lineage: Eukaryota; Metazoa; Chordata; Mammalia; Primates; Hominidae. The record is from RNAcentral.
GGAGAAUCUGAGACUUCUGAAGAGUUUCUUGCUUCUUUCCUGUGGGGCAGUGACUCCACUUCCCAGCAGUAAUGGAAUAUCCUGAAUUAGCUACAUUAAUGUUAGAACCAUUUGGACCUCACCCAGGACUUCAACUACAUUGUGAGUAACUCCUGGACGACUGGCACAGAAGAAGGCACAAGGCAAAUACCCAUCUCUGUACACCCUGUGCUACUGUGUCAUGUGCUGCUCCAGGCAACUCCAAUGGAUUGGCCACCCUGGCCAAUGUGUGAAUUAUAAAGCAAUGAUGUGUAGCUAUUGAACCUACAAUUUGGUUAAAAUUAAACUCUCAAGUUUUAUAUGUUUACAAGCAUAUUGUCCUUUUGUUAAUUUCCUCCCAAUACUCAUUCUUGACUUCUUUUAGUUUUACUAUGUAGUAAUUUUUAAAAUGUUAUUCAAAGUUAGUUAAUUUAAUUCACUUGGCAGAUUUUCCUGUAAUUUUGGUUAAACAGUAUCCUUUCUGUACAGGCCCUCCAAACACCAGCACUGAGUAGAAAGAGGCUCUGAUUCAUGAAAUGUGAAUUUAUGACAGUUGCCACUCUUUAAAAAAAAACAGACAGAACUUGAGCAAUACAUGACUGAUGCAUUCUCAGCCUGCUUCCUGUGUUCCAUCUGUCUUUCUGGCAGUGCAUUCACCCUCCAGGUUUGAAAGUAGUCGGGUAAGAAAGUACUAAACAUAGAGAAAGGGCAAUUCCAAAAGAACAAAUGAUUGUUUAAUUUAGCCUGACAUUACCCAGUUGCUGGGGGUAUGGGCCAUGGGGAUCGGCCAUGUUCACCACUUAGGUUGGGCAAAUUCCCAGGAUGCCUUUUGACAUAGUAAUGAGGGGGAAUACAUCACUCAUGCCCACU